AGCGUAGGCGGAUUCUUAAGUGGGAUGUGAAAUACCUGGGCUUAACCUGGGUGCUGCAUUCCAAACUGGGAAUCUAGAGUGCAGGAGGGGAGAGUGGAAUUCCUAGUGUAGCGGUGAAAUGCGUAGAGAUUAGGAAGAACACCAGUGGCGAAGGCGACUCUCUGGACUGUAACUGACGCUGAGGCUCGAAAGCGUAGGGAGCAAACA
Molecule: ribosomal RNA, 207 nt
Filed under: uncultured bacterium
Lineage: Bacteria
Description: partial 16S ribosomal RNA
Rfam family: Bacterial small subunit ribosomal RNA
Source: RNAcentral